UAUAGUUAAGUGUACACAACAUUUUCAUCAAUAAAAAUUAUGUUCACGCUAAUCAACUCUCUAUUUUUCUUGGUAUUAACAGAUGUGGUUCCACAUCUUAUAAAGUCUAACCCUUAUCAUCCAACUAUCUUUAUCAUUGUUUAACUCAUGAAGAAAAAAGUACUCCAUGAAGCAUACAAUACUAAAAAUUUAAAUAAGUCAAAAAAUAAAAACACAAGAACAUUUCUAAAGAGGAUGUUGGUUAAAUAAUAAAAAAAUUCAAACAUAACAAAUCUUAAAUGCUUAAUAUUUAUAGAGUUUGAAUAAGCCAAAAGACACUAAAUAAAAGGUUGCAUAAUUAAAUAUGAGAUUAUGACAUUAAAAUUAGGUUCUAAUGCCAUUGGUGAGGGAAGAUGAAUGAACCUUCCUUCCUAUAUUAAUUAGUUGAUGUAUUUUAAACCACUAAAGUUUAGUUGUUGGCUUAAUAAAAUAAAUGAAUGUUUCAAAACUUAUAAUUAAUUUAUUAUUAAUGGUUACAUAUUGUUGAAUUUAAAUAGAAAGAGGAAGAGA
This 549-nucleotide long non-coding RNA is filed under the name Citrus x clementina. RNAcentral describes it as "Citrus clementina (C. clementina) long non-coding RNA (CCLE_LNC006842)". The record is from RNAcentral. Lineage: Eukaryota; Viridiplantae; Streptophyta; Magnoliopsida; Sapindales; Rutaceae.